Molecule: RNA transcript, 773 nt
Organism: Vigna angularis (adzuki bean)
Lineage: Eukaryota; Viridiplantae; Streptophyta; Magnoliopsida; Fabales; Fabaceae
Exons: 4
Source: RefSeq, a predicted model, not a curated record
AGCUUGUUCUUUCUUACUAUCUUUGAUUUCGUUGCGCGCCAUUUGCUUCUUUUCAUAGUUAUCUAUUUUCGGAUCCGAGAAAUGGCCAGUUAUCCCGAAGACCCACAUGAAUCCAGCGCUCCACCGCCGGAGCCACCGCCGCAACGACCACGGCCAUCACGCCCACCACCGCCACGACCACAGCCUUCACGCCCACCGCCACCUCCUAAUCCCACCCCCAACCCAAGACUAUUCAAGCUUCGGUACUUCUUCAAUGACACUUGCUUCUGUAUCAGACCGUUUCAAAAGUCCUCUAGGUCUCAAAUUCCACCUGAGGCCCCAAAAAUAGUAUAUGAGAAUCCUUGGACCUCGGCUCGGUCAGACUGGCAGAAAAAAUCGGAAAUUGGACCUCAAUCUUGCAAUUCAGAGGAAGAGGAGGAUAUAUAGGCACAAUUUGUUAUGAUGGUGAUGUUGCCACAGGACGUAACUCGCAGAAAACUUAAAGACGACAACUACUUAGUUUGCAAUUCAAAUGCACUUCCCAUAUAAUGUAGAGAGUUCCCGAGGUUACGAAAUCCAUGUAGUUCUUUUGUUCCUUUUUAUUUUCCACGAUACCUUAUGCUGGGAAAAGCAAAUACACAAUGGCCACAACAGUAGAAUGCAAAAUUCAUUUCUUUUCAUUGUUCCUUUAUUUGCAAUUUGAAGACAGUUCAGGUGACAUGUAAAGUGGGGUUAGUAGAGUUUGUGAUGAUGAGAAGUCUUGCACAGAUAAUCCUCCGAGACAUGUUAGUUAU